This 315-nucleotide ribosomal RNA is filed under the name Triticum aestivum (bread wheat). Its description in RNAcentral is "partial small subunit ribosomal RNA". The record is from RNAcentral. Lineage: Eukaryota; Viridiplantae; Streptophyta; Magnoliopsida; Poales; Poaceae.
AUGCUCGAAGGCGACGUUGAGGGCGGUGUGAGUGGUGUGGGUGACGGGCGGCGCGCUCCCUCUCUUCCCCGGGACGGACGCAGGUGGAGCUGCGGGAUACGGAGCGGCCGUCGCCGCCAGCCCACCAUGAGCACGACGGCGAGGACAAGGAUUGGGCCCACGGGCUUGGAGUCGCCGUUCCAGUCCAGUUGGCGAGGCCGGCUGUCGGCGCAGGACGCCAACGGGCUCGUCGUCCUUGUCUCACGGCCGCGCCCCGAUCUUUCACCCAGUCGGGAAUGUCUACCCAGUUGCACGAACGAGCAUCAGAUCGCUUGA